Molecule: unclassified non-coding RNA, 148 nt
Organism: Pongo abelii (Sumatran orangutan)
Lineage: Eukaryota; Metazoa; Chordata; Mammalia; Primates; Hominidae
Rfam family: Metazoan signal recognition particle RNA
About the family: The signal recognition particle (SRP) is a universally conserved ribonucleoprotein.
Source: Ensembl
GCUGGGCGUGGUGCUGGAUGCCUGUAGUCCCAGUUACUAAGGAAGCUAAGGCAGGAAGAUCACUUGAACCCAGAAGUUCAGGACUGCAGUGAGCUAUAAGCACGCCAUUGCACUCCAGCCUGAGUGACAAAGUGAGAUCCUGUCUUAA